This 112-nucleotide ribosomal RNA is filed under the name Caerostris darwini. The record is from RNAcentral. Lineage: Eukaryota; Metazoa; Arthropoda; Arachnida; Araneae; Araneidae.
AACGGCCAUACCAUGCUGAAUAUACUGGUUCUCGUUAGAUCACCGAAGUCAAGCAUCAUUGGGCGCGGUCAGUACUUGGGUGGGUGACCACCUGGGAACCCCGCGUGCCGUU